UUGCAGUUAAAAAGCUCGCAGUUGGAUUUCUGGCAGGAGCGACCGGUCCGCCGCAAGGUGUGCACUAGGUUGUCUCCGGUCAUCUUUGUGGGAACUGCUCUGGCAUUAGUUUGUCGGGGUUAGGGAACACAUCGUUUACUGUGAAAAAAUUAGAGUGUUUAAAGCAGGCUUAUGCCGUUGAAUACAUUAGCAUGGAAUAAUAAGAUAGGACUUUGGUGGUCUAUUUUGUUGGUUUGCACACCAAGGUAAUGAUUAAUAGGGAUAGUUGGGGGUAUUCGUAUUUAAUUGUCAGAGGUGAAAUUCUUGGAUUUAUGAAAGACGAACUACUGCGAAAGCAUUUACCAGAGAUGUUUUCAUUAAUCAAGAACGAAAGUUAGGGGAUCGAAGAUGAUUAGAUACCAUCGUAGUCUUAACCAUAAACUAUGCCGACUAGGGAUUGGUGGUCGUUCUUUAUGACUCCAUCAAGCACCUUAUGAGAAAUCAAAGUCUUUGGGUUCCGGGGGGAGUAUGGUCGCAAGGCUGAAACUUAAAGGAAUUGACGGAAGGGCACCACCAGGAGUGGAGCCUGCGGCCUUAAU
RNAcentral lists this ribosomal RNA (578 nucleotides) under uncultured marine eukaryote. Its description in RNAcentral is "SSU rRNA". It matches the Rfam family "Eukaryotic small subunit ribosomal RNA", at positions 613 to 1194 of the family's 1831-position model. The record is from RNAcentral.